AGUGAACGCUGGCGGUAGGCCUAACACAUGCAAGUCGAACGGCAGCACAGUAAGAGCUUGCUCUUACGGGUGGCGAGUGGCGGACGGGUGAGGAAUACAUCGGAAUCUACUUUUUCGUGGGGGAUAACGUAGGGAAACUUACGCUAAUACCGCAUACGACCUACGGGUGAAAGCAGGGGAUCUUCGGACCUUGCGCGAUUGAAUGAGCCGAUGUCGGAUUAGCUAGUUGGCGGGGUAAAGGCCCACCAAGGCGACGAUCCGUAGCUGGUCUGAGAGGAUGAUCGGCCACACUGGAACUGAGACACGGUCCAGACUCCUACGGGAGGCAGCAGUGGGGAAUAUUGGACAAUGGGCGCAAGCCUGGUCCAGCCAUACCGCGUGGGUGAAGAAGGCCUUCGGGUUGUAAAGCCCUUUUGUUGGGAAAGAAAAGCAGCAGGUUAAGACCCCGCUGUUCUGACGGUACCCAAAGAAUAAGCACCGGCUAACUUCGUG
RNAcentral lists this ribosomal RNA (492 nucleotides) under uncultured bacterium. RNAcentral describes it as "partial 16S ribosomal RNA". It matches the Rfam family "Bacterial small subunit ribosomal RNA", at positions 29 to 507 of the family's 1533-position model. The record is from RNAcentral.